GAUGAACGCUGGCGGCGUGCUUAACACAUGCAAGUCGAACGAUGAAGCCCAGCUUGCUGGGUGGAUUAGUGGCGAACGGGUGAGUAACACGUGAGUAACCUGCCCUUGACUCUGGGAUAAGCCUGGGAAACUGGGUCUAAUACUGGAUAUGACUUCUCAUCGCAUGGUGGGGGGUGGAAAGAUUUAUUGGUCUUGGAUGGACUCGCGGCCUAUCAGCUUGUUGGUGAGGUAAUGGCUCACCAAGGCGACGACGGGUAGCCGGCCUGAGAGGGUGACCGGCCACACUGGGACUGAGAGACGGAGCAGACUCCUACGGGAGGCAGCAGUGGGGAAUAUUGCACAAUGGGCGCAAGCCUGAUGCAGCGACGCCGCGUGAGGGAUGACGGCCUUCGGGUUGUAAACCUCUUUCAGUAGGGAAGAAGCGAGAGUGACGGUACCUGCAGAAGAAGCGCCGGCUAACUACGUG
This 466-nucleotide ribosomal RNA is filed under the name uncultured bacterium. RNAcentral's name for it is "partial 16S ribosomal RNA". It matches the Rfam family "Bacterial small subunit ribosomal RNA", at positions 28 to 507 of the family's 1533-position model. The record is from RNAcentral.